CGGAUUGCAGCCUGCAACUCGGCUGCAUGAAGCUGGAAUCGCUAGUAAUCGCGGAUCAGAAUGCCGCGGUGAAUACGUUCCCGGGUCUUGUACACACCGCCCGUCACACCAUGGGAGCCGGGAAUGCCCGAAGUCAGUGGCCCAACCGCAGGGAGGGAGCUGCCGAAGGCAGGCCCGGUGACUGGGGUGAAGUCGUAACAAGGUAUC
Molecule: ribosomal RNA, 207 nt
Filed under: uncultured bacterium
Lineage: Bacteria
Description: partial 16S ribosomal RNA
Rfam family: Bacterial small subunit ribosomal RNA
Source: RNAcentral